UACGUAGGGGGCAAGCGUUGUCCGGAUUUAUUGGGCGUAAAGAGCGUGUAGGCGGCCUGACAAGUCUGCUGUGAAAACUCGAGGCUCAACCUCGAGAUGUCGGCGGAAACUGUCUGGCUAGAGUCCGGAAGAGGAGAGUGGAAUUCCUGGUGUAGCGGUGAAAUGCGCAGAUAUCAGGAAGAACACCUAUGGCGAAGGCGGCUCUCUGGGACGGUACUGACGCUGAGACGCGAAAGCGUGGGGAGCGAACAGG
This 253-nucleotide ribosomal RNA is filed under the name uncultured bacterium. Its description in RNAcentral is "partial 16S ribosomal RNA". It matches the Rfam family "Bacterial small subunit ribosomal RNA", at positions 524 to 776 of the family's 1533-position model. The record is from RNAcentral.